This 168-nucleotide ribosomal RNA is filed under the name uncultured alpha proteobacterium WkB02. RNAcentral's name for it is "partial 16S ribosomal RNA". Lineage: Bacteria; Pseudomonadati; Pseudomonadota; Alphaproteobacteria. The record is from RNAcentral.
AUUACCGCGGCUGCUGGCACGAAGUUAGCCGGAGCUUCUUCUACGGGUACCGUCAUUAUCGUCCCCGUCGAAAGAGUUUUACAACCCGAAGGCCUUCAUCACUCACGCGGCAUGGCUGGAUCAGGUUUCCCCCAUUGUCCAAGAUUCCCAACUGCUGCCUCCCGUANG